RNAcentral lists this ribosomal RNA (438 nucleotides) under uncultured bacterium. RNAcentral describes it as "partial 16S ribosomal RNA". It matches the Rfam family "Bacterial small subunit ribosomal RNA", at positions 339 to 795 of the family's 1533-position model. The record is from RNAcentral.
CUACGGGUUGCAGCGGUGGGGAAUAUUGCACAAUGGGGGAAACCCUGAUGCAGCGACGCCGCGUGAGCGAAGAAGGCUUUAGGGUCGUAAAGCUCUGUCCUAAGGGAAGAUAGUGACGGUACCUUAGGAGGAAGCCCCGGCUAACUACGUGCCAGCAGCCGCGGUAACACGUAGGGGGCGAGCGUUAUCCGGAAUUAUUGGGCGUAAAGGGUUCGCAGGUGGUCUGUUAAGUCAGAUGUGAAAGGCAGUGGCUCAACCAUUGCAAGCAUUUGAAACUGGCAGACUUGAGUACAGGAGAGGAAAGCGGAAUUCCUAGUGUAGCGGUGAAAUGCGUAGAUAUUAGGAGGAACACCAGUGGCGAAGGCGGCUUUCUGGACUGUAACUGACACUGAGGAACGAAAGCGUGGGGAGCAAACAGGAUUAGAUACCCUUGUAGUC